Molecule: ribosomal RNA, 859 nt
Filed under: uncultured bacterium
Lineage: Bacteria
Description: bacterial SSU rRNA
Rfam family: Bacterial small subunit ribosomal RNA
Source: RNAcentral
UACGGAGGGUGCAAGCGUUACUCGGAAUCACUGGGCGUAAAGGACGCGUAGGCGGGAUAGUAAGUCUGAUGUGAAAUCCUAUGGCUUAACCAUAGAACUGCAUUGGAAACUACUGACCUAGAGUAUGGGAGGGGGAGAUGGAAUUAGUGGUGUAGGGGUAAAAUCCGUAGAUAUCACUAGGAAUACCUAAAGCGAAGGCGAUCUCCUGGAACAAUACUGACGCUAAGGCGUGAAAGCGUGGGGAGCAAACGGGAUUAGAUACCCCGGUAGUCCACGCCCUAAACGAUGAACACUAGUCGUCGGGAUGCUUGUCAUCUCGGUGAUGCACUUAACAGAUUAAGUGUUCCGCCUGGGGAGUACGGUCGCAAGAUUAAAACUCAAAGGAAUAGACGGGGACCCGCACAAGUGGUGGAGCAUGUGGUUUAAUUCGAAGAUACGCGAAGAACCUUACCUAGCCUUGACAUUGAUUGAAUUUUCCAGAGAUGGAGGAGUGCCCUUCGGGGAGCAUGAAAACAGGUGCUGCACGGCUGUCGUCAGCUCGUGUCGUGAGAUGUUGGGUUAAGUCCCGCAACGAGCGCAACCCUCGUCCUUAGUUGCCAGCAGGUUAAGCUGGGCACUCUAAGGAGACUGCCUUCGCAAGGAGGAGGAAGGUGAGGACGACGUCAAGUCAUCAUGGCCCUUACGGCUAGGGCUACACACGUGCUACAAUGGGGCGUACAGAGUGUUGCGAUACCGCGAGGUGGAGCCAAUCACUUAAAGCGUCUCUCAGUUCGGAUUGGAGUCUGCAACUCGACUCCAUGAAGCUGGAAUCACUAGUAAUCGUAGAUCAGCAAUGCUACGGUGAAUACGUUCCCGGGUC